GACGACGCUGGCGGCGUGCCUAAUACAUGCAAGUCGAGCGGGGAUUAUGCUUGAUCGCUUCGGUGAGACGGCAUAUAUCCUAGCGGCGGACGGGUGAGUAACGCGUGGGUAAUCUACCUCGUAGUUCGGGAUAACAGGCCGAAAGGCUUGCUAAUACCGGAUGAGUUCAUGCUUAUGCAUAUAGGCAUGAAGAAAGGGCUAGCCCGCUAUGAGAUGAGCCCGCGUCCCAUUAGCUUGUUGGUGGGGUAAUGGCCUACCAAGGCAACGAUGGGUAGCCGGCCUGAGAGGGUGUACGGCCACACUGGGACUGAGACACGGCCCAGACUCCUACGGGGGGCAGCAGUAGGGAAUUUUCGGCAAUGGGCGAAAGCCUGACCGAGCGACGCCGCGUGAGGGACGAAGGCCUUCGGGUUGUAAACCUCUGUCUGGGGGGAUGAGAACGGACGGUACCCCCGGAGGGAAGCCCCGGCUAACUACGUG
RNAcentral lists this ribosomal RNA (480 nucleotides) under uncultured bacterium. RNAcentral's name for it is "bacterial SSU rRNA". It matches the Rfam family "Bacterial small subunit ribosomal RNA", at positions 33 to 507 of the family's 1533-position model. The record is from RNAcentral.